AAGGCCCUUCGGGGUACACGAGCGGCGAACGGGUGAGUAACACGUGGGUAACCUGCCCUGUACUCUGGGAUAAGCCUUGAAAACCAGGUCUAAUACCGAAUACGACCUUUUGUCGCAUGGUGGAAGGUGGAAAGUUCCGGCGGUAUGGGAUGGACCCGCGGCCUAUCAGCUUGUUGGUGGGGUAAUGGCCUACCAAGGCGACGACGGGUAGCUGGCCUGAGAGGGUGACCUGCCACACUGGGACUGAGACACGGCCCACACCCCUCCGGGAAGGCAACCCUGGGGGCAAUAUUCCACACUGGGCGAACGCCUGAUGCAUCGACGCCGCCGGUGAGGGAUGACGGCCUUCGGGUUGUAAACCUCUUUCAGCAGGGACGAAGCGCAAGUGACGGUACCUGCAGAAGAAGCACCGGCUAACUACGUGCCAGCAGCCGCGGUAAUACGUAGGGUGCGAGCGUUGUCCGGAAUUAUUGGGCGUAAAGAGCUCGUAGGCGGUUUGUCGCGUCGGCCGUGAAAACUUGGGGCUUAACCCCGAGCCCGCGGUCGAUACGGGCAGACUUGAGUUCGGCAGGGGAGACUGGAAUUCCUGGUGUAGCGGUGAAAUGCGCAGAUAUCAGGAGGAACACCGGUGGCGAAGGCCCGUCUCUGGGCCGAUACUGACGCUGAGGAGCGAAAGCGUGGGGAGCGAACAGGAUUAGAUACCCUGGUAGUCCACGCCGUAAACGGUGGGUGCUAGGUGUGGGGGACUUCCACYUCCUCCGUGCCGCAGCUAACGCAUUAAGCACCCCGCCUGGGGAGUACGGCCGCAAGGCUAAAACUCAAAGGAAUUGACGGGGGCCCGCACAAGCGGCGGAGCAUGUGGAUUAAUUCGAUGCAACGCGAAGAACCUUACCUGGGCUUGACAUGCACUGAAAACCGGUAGAGAUAUCGGCCCCCUUGUGGCCGGGGUACAAGUGGUGCAUGGCCGUCGUCAGCUCGUGUCGUGAGAUGUUGGGUUAAGUCCCGCAACGAGCGCAACCCUCGUUCCAUGUUGCCAGCACGUUUAUGGUGGGGACUCAUGGGAGACUGCCGGGGUCAACUCGGAGGAAGGUGGGGAUGACGUCAAGUCAUCAUGCCCCUUAUGUCCAGGGCUUCACACCUGCUACAAUGGCCGGUACAAAGGGCUGCUAAGCCGUGAGGUGGAGCGAAUCCCAUAAAGCCGGUCUCAGUUCGGAUCGGGGUCUGCAACUCGACCCCGUGAAGUCGGAGUCGCUAGUAAUCGCAGAUCAGCAACGGUGCGGUGAAUACGUUCCCGGGCCUUGUACACACCGCCCGUCACGUCACGAAAGUCRGUAACACCCGAA
RNAcentral lists this ribosomal RNA (1343 nucleotides) under Saccharothrixopsis albidus. RNAcentral describes it as "16S ribosomal RNA". It matches the Rfam family "Bacterial small subunit ribosomal RNA", at positions 72 to 1425 of the family's 1533-position model. Lineage: Bacteria; Bacillati; Actinomycetota; Actinomycetes; Pseudonocardiales; Pseudonocardiaceae. The record is from RNAcentral.